RNAcentral lists this ribosomal RNA (1369 nucleotides) under uncultured bacterium. RNAcentral's name for it is "bacterial SSU rRNA". It matches the Rfam family "Bacterial small subunit ribosomal RNA", at positions 28 to 1381 of the family's 1533-position model. The record is from RNAcentral.
GACGAACGCUGGCGGCGUGCCUAAUACAUGCAAGUAGAACGCUGAAGAGAGGAGCUUGCUCUUCUUGGAUGAGUUGCGAACGGGUGAGUAACGCGUAGGUAACCUGCCUUGUAGCGGGGGAUAACUAUUGGAAACGAUAGCUAAUACCGCAUAACAAUGGAUGACACAUGUCAUUUAUUUGAAAGGGGCAAUUGCUCCACUACAAGAUGGACCUGCGUUGUAUUAGCUAGUAGGUGAGGUAACGGCUCACCUAGGCGACGAUACAUAGCCGACCUGAGAGGGUGAUCGGCCACGCUGGGACUGAGACACGGCCCAGACUCCUACGGGAGGCAGCAGUAGGGAAUCUUCGGCGAUGGGGGCAACCCUGACCGAGCAACGCCGCGUGAGUGAAGAAGGUUUUCGGAUCGUAAAGCUCUGUUGUAAGUCAAGAACGAGUGUGAGAGUGGAAAGUUCACACUGUGACGGUAGCUUACCAGAAAGGGACGGCUAACUACGUGCCAGCAGCCGCGGUAAUACGUAGGUCCCGAGCGUUGUCCGGAUUUAUUGGGCGUAAAGCGAGCGCAGGCGGUUUGAUAAGUCUGAAGUUAAAGGCUGUGGCUCAACCAUAGUUCGCUUUGGAAACUGUCAAACUUGAGUGCAGAAGGGGAGAGUGGAAUUCCAUGUGUAGCGGUGAAAUGCGUAGAUAUAUGGAGGAACACCGGUGGCGAAAGCGGCUCUCUGGUCUGUAACUGACGCUGAGGCUCGAAAGCGUGGGGAGCGAACAGGAUUAGAUACCCUGGUAGUCCACGCCGUAAACGAUGAGUGCUAGGUGUUGGAUCCUUUCCGGGAUUCAGUGCCGCAGCUAACGCAUUAAGCACUCCGCCUGGGGAGUACGACCGCAAGGUCGAAACUCAAAGGAAUUGACGGGGGCCCGCACAAGCGGUGGAGCAUGUGGUUUAAUUCGAAGCAACGCGAAGAACCUUACCAGGUCUUGACAUCCCGAUGCUAUUUCUAGAGAUAGAAAGUUACUUCGGUACAUCGGUGACAGGUGGUGCAUGGUUGUCGUCAGCUCGUGUCGUGAGAUGUUGGGUUAAGUCCCGCAACGAGCGCAACCCCUAUUGUUAGUUGCCAUCAUUCAGUUGGGCACUCUAGCGAGACUGCCGGUAAUAAACCGGAGGAAGGUGGGGAUGACGUCAAAUCAUCAUGCCCCUUAUGACCUGGGCUACACACGUGCUACAAUGGUUGGUACAACGAGUUGCGAGUCGGUGACGGCAAGCUAAUCUCUUAAAGCCAAUCUCAGUUCGGAUUGUAGGCUGCAACUCGCCUACAUGAAGUCGGAAUCGCUAGUAAUCGCGGAUCAGCACGCCGCGGUGAAUACGUUCCCGGGCCU